GGCUAGACUGGGCAUCAACUAUAUUUAACAAGUUAUAGUAAGCCUUUUUCUUAUAAGAAGUACAAUAUUAUUAUAUGUGUCCCAUGUUACAGCAGAAGUUGAAAAUAGAAGCAAUAAUUUUUAUAUUGUCUUUUCUUUCAAAGAAAUAUAUUUAGAAUAAUCCUGGUUGCUAGGAGGAAUUUCCUUACCACUCCUUAAUUAUAUGAGCAGACAGAUAAUACUUUUGAAUUUACACUUUUAUUAUUGGAAUCCUCUGAAUAUGUAUAAAUCCUCUGAAGAUAUAUAAAUCUCUUGUAUUAGAUUCCUUGUGUACCUCUCACAGUAAUUACAGGUGACUAACGCAAGGUCAGCUUUCUGUGUAGGGGAGAAAUGGGCUGAAAUGGCCCUCCAUCAGAUUUCUGUAUUCUAAUAUUUCUUAAAUUGCUAGUGAUCUCCCUAGACACACUGUUGAGAGGAUACUGGAAAGUGAGUGAAUAAGUGGGAUUGUUGCCACAUUAAAC
Molecule: long non-coding RNA, 500 nt
Filed under: Bos taurus (domestic cattle)
Lineage: Eukaryota; Metazoa; Chordata; Mammalia; Artiodactyla; Bovidae
Description: long non-coding RNA NONBTAT024358
Source: RNAcentral